RNAcentral lists this ribosomal RNA (886 nucleotides) under Perilachnea humarioides. RNAcentral describes it as "Perilachnea sp. NV-2022c partial large subunit ribosomal RNA". It matches the Rfam family "Eukaryotic large subunit ribosomal RNA", at positions 35 to 938 of the family's 3401-position model. Lineage: Eukaryota; Fungi; Ascomycota; Pezizomycetes; Pezizales; Pyronemataceae. The record is from RNAcentral.
UAAGCAUAUCAAUAAGCGGAGGAAAAGAAACCAACAGGGAUUGCCUCAGUAACUGCGAGUGAAGCGGCACAAGCUCAAAUUUGAAAUCUGGCGUCUUUGGCGUCCGAGUUGUAAUUUGGAGAGGCAUCUUCGGAGAUGGCGCCGUCCUAAGUUCCUUGGAACAGGACGUCACAGAGGGUGAGAAUCCCGUGCCAGGAUGGCAGCCCAUCUCCAUGUGAAGUGUCUUCGACGAGUCGAGUUGUUUGGGAAUGCAGCUCAAAAUGGGUGGUAAAUUUCAUCUAAAGCUAAAUACUGGCGAGAGACCGAUAGCGCACAAGUAGAGUGAUCGAAAGAUGAAAAGCACUUUGAAAAGAGAGUUAAAAAGUACGUGAAAUUGUUGAAAGGGAAGCGCUUGAGACCAGACUCGAUCCUUGGUGAUCAGCCGCACUUCUGUGUGGUGCACUUGCCAUUGAUUGGGCCAGCAUCGGUUCUGGCGGUGGGAUAAAAGGCGAAGGAAUGUAGCUUCCCUCGGGGAGUGUUAUAGCCUCCGUCACAAUGCCAUCAGUCGGGACCGAGGACCGCGCUUCGGCUAGGAUGCUGGCGUAAUGGUCUUAAGCGACCCGUCUUGAAACACGGACCAAGGAGUCUAACAUCUAUGCGAGUGUUCGGGUGGAAAACCCUUGCGCGUAAUGAAAGUGAACGGAGGUGGGAACCCGCAAGGGUGCACCAUCGACCGAUCCUGAUGUCUUCGGAAGGAUUUGAGUAAGAGCAUAGCUGUUGGGACCCGAAAGAUGGUGAACUAUGCCUGAAUAGGGUGAAGCCAGAGGAAACUCUGGUGGAGGCUCGCAGCGGUUCUGACGUGCAAAUCGAUCGUCAAAUUUGGGUAUAGGGGCGAAAGACUAAUCGA